AUGAUUAUGGUUACCCCUUUCUCUGAACAUUACUCUUUUAAUGUGGAAACAAUUUAUAGUAUUCAAGUCUCUUAUGAUACUCCCACUAUUCCGAAUGAGAAGGAUUUUACUUGUGUGGAGAGUAGUAAAUUUUCUAUGCUUGUAGAUCAUGGAAAGGAUGAUUUAGGUGCUGGUUAUAUUGUUGAAUUCAUUCAUGAUGCUACUGAAAAUUAUUAUGAGGGAGGAAUAUAUGCUUGUAGGAAUUGCAAUAAUAUCAAGUUUCCUCUCUAUGUGCUUAAAGUUUUGAAGUUAUGCUUGUUUUACCUUCCUAUGCUAGUUGAUUAUUGUUCCCACAAGUUGUUUGCUCACAAAAUCCCUAUGCAUAGGAAGCAUGUUAGACUUAAAUGUGCUAGUCAUAUUCUUCAGGAUGCUCUCUUUAUGUUUCAAUUCUUAUCCUUUAUGUGA
RNAcentral lists this ribosomal RNA (444 nucleotides) under Triticum aestivum (bread wheat). Its description in RNAcentral is "partial small subunit ribosomal RNA". The record is from RNAcentral. Lineage: Eukaryota; Viridiplantae; Streptophyta; Magnoliopsida; Poales; Poaceae.